CGUUUGAUCCAUUUUUUUAUAGACAACUCUUAUCGCUAGCUGAUCGUUUCUGUAGCAAAUAAAUAGCUAACUAGCACUGCCAUCUAACGUAAAAAAACAACACUAAUAGGAGGGAUUUGAAUAGACCACGCCUUCAACGAAGGAGGAGUCCACUACAUAUUGAAUUUAUCGAUCGAUUGUUAGGCCCAUUUCGAUCGCUACUGUACAGUCAAUGGCGGCAUGGCGGAGACGCGCAUUGGAACUUGGAAGUGGAUGCAUGUGAGACUUGAUGUGGCGUUGCAUGUGGGAGGCUCCGUUGGUAAUGUUCGCAGACUGGUCAUUUGAUGAUACGUGUGAACAGUGGUAGUGCUUGGGUGCCUCAAGAGGGAAUCGCAGAACAUAGCCAUAGAGCUAAAAGUCAUAGAAGAUUUUUAAACUGUUAUUUGAUUUUGUGUUGUUUCAGCAGUAUUAUGUCCUUCAACAAUAUAUUAUGUCCAAACAUGGAAUGAGUCGCAUGUGACUAAGUCAACCAAAUGUGGCAACAACAAUUAGUCAGCAAUGGAAUUAGUCAGUGGAAAACAACACAUUCAUUCCUGAGGAUGGUUUUGAGUUUAUCUAUGCUUAUUGCCAACUGGAAGGAUUCCUCUUUUUACAGAACUUUACCAUUUUCAUGGUAUACUUAACUGCUUGUCAGCGGAUUGUCACUUGGCAUCAUUAGAAUGGUAUGGUCCAUAUCAGCAGUGUUAUGAUGCACUUCUUAAAUACACCAAUCCCUCAGAAAAUAUUCGAAUUGAAAUUAUGGAAAUUUCUGCCCUUCAUGCAGAACUGCACAAUGAUGGGUUCGUAUAAACAAGCUUCAAAUGACAAACCAACAGUAUUUUUGGUUCGGCUUACACAUGCAGCUCUAUGACAUGUUGAUGUUAGCUGAAUUGUUAUUAAUCAUAGGGGUAGGUAGUAUGAAAUGAAAUAUCUUCUCUUGGAUGUUUUUUGUCUAUGUAUUUGUUUGAGAUGACUCUUGAUGCAGGAAGCUUUUCCUGCUUCUUACAAAAAGGGACAUUGGAUGCCUUAAUGUCUAAUACCAACCAAGUGUCAUUGCAAAGAUAGGUCAAAGAUAUAUUAAUAUAGAUUACACUCUGAGUGAUGGUGACAUGGUAAAAAGAGAGAGCAGUAUGAAUAUUUGCUGCAUCAUUUACUUCUAUUAUUUAUAUCUUCAAGGUAUCUUACUGAUUUCUAUUGGUUUUAUUUGUGGAAAGAAUAUCUUGAGCGGGAGAAUUGGAUCACAAUUGACUAGAUGUUUUACUAUUUUAAAUGAGUUUAUCACAAAGAAUUUUUUACUGAUUCAUGUUCUGUUUCUGUAAUGUAGGUAGAAUAAUCGCAAUGCCGUGGUAGUAAUUCGCGAGAGAUAUGCCAAUAGGGUUUCGCUGUUUUCAAUUCGCAAUCGUAAUGGAUUUGAAGAGGAUAUUGAUGGAGUUUUGGUAUAAAAAAGUACAUGUUCGUUGGAAGGGCACCGAAGAGUUCCGGAUCCUUUUACUAUCGCACAUGUUAUGGUAUUUUUACAAAAAUCAUUGAAGUGCUUAUUUGGAACCCCUUGUUUUCUGUGGCCCCGUUUCCCCCUUGACUUAUAUUAUUUUCUUUAACCCUUUAGUGCGUGUAAAACUAAAGACUAAAAGAAGAAGAAUGAUUCAAAAACUGUGGGAGAGAAUCAUCAAAGAAUUAUACUCGUUUAGGUAAUCCUUUCGGAUUCGAUUCCGCCGUUUGUGCUGCCCUUUUCUCUAAAGCACUUCUACAGAGUGACGACUCGUCGCGAGUGCAUGACAUCCAUAUCGAUAACGGUUUCCCGCGUAAAGACGAAUCCGAGCAAGUCGUCACUAGUUUACAGCAACUCCGGCUCAAUCUUCGGAGCUCUUUUCCAGACAGUGGCUUCUCAUUUCUAUCGUCAUACCAGCGAUCAGAUUUGAUGUUUGGAAUUGUUUUGGGUUGCUAAAGCAAGAUUGACUUUCUACGAUACUUCCACCAACGUGCAUGGUCGCCAAACUUUGUCGUUGUGUCGGACUGUAAAUCCGGAAGAUAAACGUCGAAUUAUUGGCGAUAUGUUUGUCAAAGUGAUAAUUAGAACGGCUAACGAUUUAAAUGUCACUUGGGAUAAUCUACUUCUCGGACAAGUUUCUUUGAGACCUGAUUUAAUUGGGGCCGCUUCGCAUAUGGCUUCUUCGCGCGUUGAUGCCAUAAAGACUCAUCAUAACGAUUCCGAAAUGGUUCGUCAGUUGCGCAUUUACGGUCGUGUAGUAGAACCUUUUAAAGAUUUCAUUUCCAUAAAGAUGAAGUAAGGUCUUAGGUUGUGGGCUGGGUCUGUCCACAGUAUUACUGGAAUGUCACCCGUUUCCUGGUCCUGGUUAUAUAUUUAUAUUUAGUUAUAUUAUUAUUCGUAAAAUCCAGAGGUGUUCUUCACUUUACAGGGGAUUGAUUGAUGAUACUUGUUGAUUAAUCCAUGAAGAAUGGAUAAGUGGAGGGUAAUAAAAGUUAAAUAAUGUAAUUCCUGGUGGCAUUUUCAUUCACGCAUACGAAGCAGCUCGGGAGCAGACGAACCAUUGAAAGGGCCUUGCGUAGUCUAGCUGCAUCCAGCCAGAUACUAGUAGAACCCAAAACAUUGUUUUGACAAGUACUGUCAUAUUUCGGUUGCAGGUUUUCACUAAAUAUCAAGGUGUGGUAGCUAUUAUUCCGUGUUUUUCUUGCUUUCAACACUACAGGCUUAUCCUACGAGCUACGACAGUUUUACCUACAAAUGUUUAGCCGUUUCGUGCUGCAACUAGUAGUCUAUUUUCUAGGAUGAAAUGCCUAAAAUUGGAAUUCAGCUAUCAGAGAUUAACAAAAUUCAAGUUCUUAAAAGCAAGUAUUGUACCUCUUUCAACAUUCAAAAUAAAAUAUAAUUUUUGGUUCUAGGCCGAAACUCUAGAUGGCGUUUUUGUGCGUUUAUGAUGAAGAUUAUGAGUGACAAGUUAAAUGGGUGUUUGUUACGUUACGCUGUUAUGUGUUUAAAAGGAUUUUUCGUCAAAAAAUAUACGAUUGCUUUUUGUCUGUGUUGGUGUUUCGCUUUGUCAGCUAUGCUAGCUACUGAACCAGCAGCCUGCAUUCCUGCUAUCAAUGUACCACAAGAGAUCCUGACACUUUGAGAAGGCCACUAUUGCUUACAUGAAGAUCACCAUCCAGUUGAAUCAACGGCAGAGUCUUCAUCUACUUUGUGUUGCUAACCAUCCACCCUCAGCAUCCCAGGUAUCCAGAUUUCCAAGUUUCUCUGAUUAGCCAACCAUCAACCCUUCAGCUCUUCAAUGUGGCUUCUCUUCCUCUCUUCUUAAUGUGCUGAAUGCCAACAUUGAAUAAGAUUCAUCAUCAUUGCCUUUCCAUGCCAGCUCACAUGGAUAGGCUUUAACAGCAUCUCCAUUUUUUGGACUGCAAAUAUUCAUCUUCCUUCGGUACGACACUGCCGUUUUGGCAAUUUCGGCAGUUUCGCCCCCAGUGGACCACACGCAACUACAUUUUCUUCGUCUUCCUGUCGUUGUUGUCUACGACUUCACCUCAUCGCUGUCUUCGUUGAUGUCUUCGCCUUCAUCUCCGUCUCGUCGUCUUAGUCGUCUUCUCCUUCAUCUCCGUCUCGUCGUCUUAGUCGUCUUCUCCUUCAUCUCCGUCUCGUCGUCUUAGUCGUCUUCUCCUUCAUCUCCGUCUCGUCGUCGUAGUCAUCUUCGCCUUCACCUCCGUCUCUGCGUCUUCGCCUUCACCUCCGUCUCGGCGUCUUCGCCGUCUUUGUCUACGCCAUCACCUCGUCGCCGGCCUCUCUUUCGCCCUUCACGUUGGGAAUUCACCGUUGAUCUUCGCUCUGGUAUUGUUUUGUUUUACAUUAUUAUGUUUAAGUUAACCCGUUGGCUGCCACCCCGUUUGCGUCCCAUUUUUUUGUAGCUUGUAGGGACCGGCCGCAAUGGCCUUCGCCGCAAGGCGCCUU
Molecule: long non-coding RNA, 3973 nt
Filed under: Daphnia magna
Lineage: Eukaryota; Metazoa; Arthropoda; Branchiopoda; Diplostraca; Daphniidae
Description: uncharacterized LOC116921607, transcript variant X25
Source: RNAcentral